UCAAGUUAUUAAGGGUGCAGGGUGGAUGCCUUGGCACUAGGAGCCGAUGAAGGACGUGAUAAGCUGCGAUAAGCUUCGGGGAGUUGCACGUAAACUUUGAUCCGAAGAUUUCCGAAUGAGGAAACUCACUUAGAGUAAUGUCUAAGUAUCAUUAAGUGAAUACAUAGCUUAAUGAGGGGAACUCAGGGAACUGAAACAUCUAAGUACCUGAAGGAAGAGAAAGAAAUUCGAUUCCGUAAGUAGCGGCGAGCGAACGCGGAUUAGCCCAAACCAAUAAAGUUUUCUUUAUUGGGGUUGCGGACAUAUCAUAACGAAGAGGUAUCGUAAUUGAAGAGGUUUGGAAAGACCCACCACAGAAGGUAAUAGUCCUGUAUGUUAAACGAGAAGACUUCAGAUAUGAUCCAGAGUACCACGGGACACGUGAAACCCUGUGGGAAGCAGGAGGGACCACCCUCCAAGGCUAAAUACUACCUAGUGACCGAUAGCGUAUAGUACCGUGAGGGAAAGGUGAAAAGAACCCCGGGAGGGGAGUGAAAUAGAACCUGAAACCCUGCACUUACAAGCUGUGGAAGCACAUUUCUUGUGUGACCGCGUACUUUUUGUAGAACGGGCCAACGAGUUACGUUAAGUAGCAAGGUUAAGCACUUAAGGUGCGGAGCCGUAGCGAAAGCGAGUUUUAACUGAGCGUUCAGUUACUUGACGUAGACCCGAAACCGGGCGACCUACCCAUGAGCAGGAUGAAGCGAAAGUAAAAUUUCGUGGAGGUCCGAACCCACGAGCGUUGAAAAGCUCGGGGAUGACUUGUGGGUAGCGGUGAAAUUCCAAUCGAGCCCGGAGAUAGCUGGUUCUCCCCGAAAUAGCUUUAGGGCUAGCCUCAAGGUGAGAGAUACGGAGGUAGAGCACUGAAUGUCCUAGGGGGUAUUGCACCUACCGAAGACUAUCAAACUCCGAAUGCCGUCAUCUUAUACUUGGGAGUCAGACUGUGGGUGAUAAGAUUCAUAGUCGAAAGGGCAACAGCCCAGAUCGUCAGCUAAGGUCCCUAAAUGUAAGUUAAGUGGUAAAGGAUGUGGGAUUGCACAGACAACCAGGAUGUUGGCUUAGAAGCAGCCACUCAUUCAAAGAGUGCGUAAUAGCUCACUGGUCGAGUGAUCCUGCGCCGAAGAUUUCCGGGGCUAAAACUUACUACCGAAGCUACGGCAUCAGUAAUGAUGGGUAGGGGAGCUUCCCAUACGGGUUGAAGCAUGACCGUAAGGACAUGUGGACAGUAUGGGAGUGAGAAUGUUGGCAUGAGUAGCGAGAUGUGGGUGAGAAUCCCACAGGCCGUAAACCCAAGGUUUCCAGGGGAAGGUUCGUCCGCCCUGGGUUAGUCGGGACCUAAGCUGAGGCCGAAAGGCGUAGGUGAUGGACAACAGGUUGAUAUUCCUGUACUACCGAUAACCGUUUGAGAGAAGGGAUGACACAGUAGGAUAAGCUAAGCACACUGUUGGUUAUGUGUGCCCAAGCAUUGAGGCGGUCAAAGUAGGCAAAUCCGCUUUGAUAAUGCUGGGAUGUGAUGGGGAGCGAAAUUUAGUAGCGAAGUAGCUGAUUUCACACUGUCAAGAAAAGUCUCUAUCGAGGUUAAAGGUACCCGUACCGCAAACCGACACAGGUGGGUGAGGAGAGUAUCCUAAGGCCAGCGAGAGAACUGUUGUUAAGGAACUCGGCAAAAUGACCCCGUAACUUAGGGAUAAGGGGUGCCACCAUCAGGUGGCCGCAGAGAAUAGGCCCAAGCGACUGUUUACCAAAAACAUAGGUUUCUGCUAAGUCGCAAGACGAUGUAUAGGAGCUGACGCCUGCCCGGUGCUGGAAGGUUAAGGGGAUCUGUUAGAGCAAUCGAAGCAGUGAACUUAAGCCCCAGUAAACGGCGGCCGUAACUAUAACGGUCCUAAGGUAGCGAAAUUCCUUGUCGGGUAAGUUCCGACCCGCACGAAAGGCGUAACGAUUUGGGCACUGUCUCAACAACAGACUCGGUGAAAUUGUAAUUCCGGUGAAGAUGCCGGAUACCUGCGACAGGACGGAAAGACCCCAUGGAGCUUUACUGUAGCUUGACAUUGGGUCUUGGUACUACAUGUACAGGAUAGGUGGGAGGCUUUGAAACCAGGACGCCAGUUUUGGCGGAGCCAUCCUUGGGAUACCACCCUUGUAGUACUGGGACUCUAACCAUAGGCCAUGAAUCUGGUCUUGGGACACUGUCAGGUGGGCAGUUUGACUGGGGCGGUCGCCUCCCAAAAGGUAACGGAGGCGCUCAAAGGUUCUCUCAGUACGGUCGGAAAUCGUACGUAGAGUGUAAAGGCAAAAGAGAGCUUGAUUGCAAGACAUACAGGUCGAGCAAGGAUGAAAAUCGGACUUAGUGAUCCGGUGGUUCUGCGUGGAAGGGCCAUCGCUCAACGGAUAAAAGCUACCCUGGGGAUAACAGGCUUAUCUCCCCCAAGAGUCCACAUCGACGGGGAGGUUUGGCACCUCGAUGUCGGCUCAUCACAUCCUGGGGCUGUAGUAGGUCCCAAGGGUUGGGCUGUUCGCCCAUUAAAGUGGUACGCGAGCUGGGUUCAGAACGUCGUGAGACAGUUCGGUCCCUAUCCGUCGCAGGCGUAGGAAAUUUGAGAAGACCUGUCCUUAGUACGAGAGGACCGGGAUGGACGUACCUCUGGUGUACCAGUUGUCCUGCCAAGGGCAUGGCUGGGUAGCUAUGUACGGAAUGGAUAAGCGCUGAAAGCAUCUAAGCGCGAAGCCAACUUCAAGAUAAGAUUUCCCACCGCAAGGGUAAGACCCCAGAAAGACUAUCUGGUUGAUAGGUCGAAGGUGUAAGUGCAGUAAUGUAUUUAGCUUAUCGAUACUAAUAGGUCGAGGACUUGACCAA
This 2896-nucleotide ribosomal RNA is filed under the name Clostridioides difficile. RNAcentral's name for it is "bacterial LSU rRNA". It matches the Rfam family "Bacterial large subunit ribosomal RNA". The record is from RNAcentral. Lineage: Bacteria; Bacillati; Bacillota; Clostridia; Peptostreptococcales; Peptostreptococcaceae.